GCCGGAACUGACGAGGAAGUAGGCCUGAAAAAGAGGGCCUACCUUAUAGAAUGCUUAUAAAAGUGGUGUGGUGGGUGGGACAAUUCGCCAGACCCAACAGGUAAUGAGGGAAGGGUUGAUGCUCCUUAAGAAGGGGAACCAAGCCCCUCCCACAACUUCAGGCCACGCCUUCCAUUUGUGGUCAUGGCAUAAGCCGUAGUAUUAUUGAU
Molecule: non-coding RNA, 209 nt
Organism: Pelobates cultripes (western spadefoot toad)
Lineage: Eukaryota; Metazoa; Chordata; Amphibia; Anura; Pelobatidae
Source: the annotation of a GenBank genome assembly